UACGGGGGGGGCAAGCGUUGUUCGGAAUUACUGGGCGUAAAGGGCUCGUAGGUGGCCACCUAAGUCAGACGUGAAAUCCCUCGGCUUAACCGGGGAACUGCGUCUGAUACUGGAUGGCUAGAGUUUGGGAGAGGGAUGCGGAAUUCCAGGUGUAGCGGUGAAAUGCGUAGAUAUCUGGAGGAACACCGGUGGCGAAGGCGGCAUCCUGGACCAACACUGACGCUGAGGAGCGAAAGCCAGGGGAGCAAACGGG
Molecule: ribosomal RNA, 253 nt
Filed under: uncultured bacterium
Lineage: Bacteria
Description: partial 16S ribosomal RNA
Rfam family: Bacterial small subunit ribosomal RNA
Source: RNAcentral